Clupea harengus (Atlantic herring) is the source of this 1295-nucleotide long non-coding RNA. The record is from Ensembl. Lineage: Eukaryota; Metazoa; Chordata; Actinopteri; Clupeiformes; Clupeidae.
GUACAGUAUUUGGCCACUUUCCUGCCCUAGGCUAUCUGACUGUGCACACCAAGGAAUCACCAUCGACCAAUCGCAGUGCUCUGCCAGAGUGAGGACGUGGGUGGACGAUGCUGUGUGUGUAUGUGUGUGUAUAUGGGGGGAGUGGGGUGUGGGGGGAAAUAGUGGUUGGGAAGGGUGUCUGCUUUUAUUCGUGACAGUGUGUAUGUGUGUGUGUGUGUGUGUGUGUGUGUGGCGUGGGUUUGAGCAAGAUCAAGGGUUUUAGUGAAGUGGAAACAUGAAACACCCAAAAAGGGAAAAAAUGAGAGAAAGGAACACUAGGGGUAGGAGGUUCAUGACUGAUCAUAAACUGAACACAUCUUAACUCAACACAGAAGAAAACAAUUCAUAAAGAAUUAUAAAGAUUGACAAAUGCAUACAGAUGACAAAAGGGUUAACUUGCUGUAGCUUACAUUAUACCUCAUUUGAAAGGAAAAGGUCAAAAACAUCUGCCAAACAAAAAAACAAAUAAAUAAAUAGAUAUAAGCCACUGAACAGAGAUAAACACAGAGUGUGUGUGUGUGUGGAGCCAUUAGACUUCCUUCUUCACAAUGGCCACAUCCUCUGUGGUCCCCCGGGUUCUUCUUGCUGUGUUCUCUGAAUCAGCAUUGCGUCUUCAAUGUGUCUCUGCCACAGCUGUCAGUUACCCUGCUGACAAAAACAGCUGAAAACCGGCUGAAUGCUGCUAGAAGGUUUUAGCUGCACUGGUCUUGCCUGGUUUUAGCUGGUCAAGUUUUUUUUUUUUUUUCAGCAGGGUGGGCUACCCUGGAGGGGUGGUGUGUGUCAGGGGGCACCUCCCACAUGUGGUAACGAUCUGUGAAGGCACCCGUGUGUGGAGGAGAGGGGGAGGCCGGAGGGAGGUGGGAGGUGGGAGGUGGGGGUCGCCAUUACGAGCUGGAGGGAUGUGCUCCAAGCCCUACGACAGGACUAUCAGUUAGGAAGUGUCGGUGGUAAUUGGGCAAAGCGACGUCUAGGCCUUUACCAGUGCAGGAACUCAUGGAAGUUCAGCAGGAGAUAGGAACCUUUGGGUGGGAGGAACCGCCCACUACAUUAACCACCUUUUUGUAGCUCCUUCAGGGUACUACUACAGAAUUGUACCACCCUUUUCUGGGAGGGAUAGAUUGAUCCCAAAGGAAAAUGACGUGUAAGUACUAUGAGCAGAAGCAGGACAGAUGUUUAGAUUCCUCCUCUUUAGACAACAAUGAUAUGAGCCCUACUUUAUCCAAACUGACUGCCAAAGCACUGAAGCAAUGGGCCAC